UAUUAGUAGGCCCAGGAUAGU
RNAcentral lists this non-coding RNA (21 nucleotides) under Arabidopsis thaliana (thale cress). The record is from RNAcentral. Lineage: Eukaryota; Viridiplantae; Streptophyta; Magnoliopsida; Brassicales; Brassicaceae.